CCUACGGGUGGCAGCAGUGGGGAAUUUUGGACAAUGGGCGCAAGCCUGAUCCAGCUAUUCCGCGUGUGGGAUGACGGCCCUCGGGUUGUAAACCACUUUAGUAGAGAACGAAAAGGAGCUAUCGAAUUAAUAGCUCUGCUGACGGUACCUUAAGAAUAAGCACCGGCUAACUACGUGCCAGCAGCCGCGGUAAUACGUAGGGUGCGAGCGUUAAUCGGAAUUACUGGGCGUAAAGGGUGUGCAGGCGGCUGGUUAAGUCAGAUGUGAAAUCCCCGGGCUUAACGUGGGAACCGCAUAUGAAACGGGUAAGCGAGAGUGCGUGAGAGGAAAGUGGAAUUCCAGGUGUAGGAGUGAAAUGCGUAGAUAUGUGGAAGAACACCAGUGGCGAAGGCAGCCACCUGGGACGCAACUGACGCUGA
Molecule: ribosomal RNA, 419 nt
Filed under: uncultured bacterium
Lineage: Bacteria
Description: partial 16S ribosomal RNA
Rfam family: Bacterial small subunit ribosomal RNA
Source: RNAcentral